Molecule: long non-coding RNA, 220 nt
Filed under: Ananas comosus (pineapple)
Lineage: Eukaryota; Viridiplantae; Streptophyta; Magnoliopsida; Poales; Bromeliaceae
Description: long non-coding RNA (ACOM_LNC025938)
Source: RNAcentral
AAAAAUAUCGAGAAAAAGAGGGCGUGAGAACUAUAAUUUAUAGUUUCCAGUGGGCAAUUACUGACCUCAGCUCAAUGCACCACUAGGCCCCAAAAGAAAAGGGUAAGUAACGACAUAUAGUAAUAUGCAAUAAAUAGCGAACACGAAAACUGCUGAAAGAAAGCAUGAAUGAAAUGCUAUACUACUAUGUCUCCAAUAAGCAUGAUGUCAUGGUGAUGUA